RNAcentral lists this ribosomal RNA (301 nucleotides) under uncultured bacterium. Its description in RNAcentral is "partial 16S ribosomal RNA". It matches the Rfam family "Bacterial small subunit ribosomal RNA", at positions 509 to 807 of the family's 1533-position model. The record is from RNAcentral.
CAGUCGCCACGGGAAUACAGAGGGUGCGAGCGUUAAUCGGAUUUACUGGGCGUAAAGCGUGCGUAGGCGGCUUCUUAAGUCGGAUGUGAAAUCCCUGAGCUUAACUUAGGAAUUGCAUUCGAUACUGGGAAGCUAGAGUAUGGGAGAGGAUGGUAGAAUUCCAGGUGUAGCGGUGAAAUGCGUAGAGAUCUGGAGGAAUACCGAUGGCGAAGGCAGCCAUCUGGCCUAAUACUGACGCUGAGGUACGAAAGCGUGGGGAGCAAACAGGAUUAGAUACCCCUGUAGUCCCUGUCUCUUAUAC